GUCGAUCCUACGGGGAGGCAGCAGUGGGGAAUAUUGCACAAUGGGGGAAACCCUGAUGCAGCCAUGCCGCGUGUGUGAAGAAGGCCUUCGGGUUGUAAAGCACUUUCAGUAGGGAGGAAGGUAGUGUAGUUAACACCUGCAUUAUUUGACGUUACCUACAGAAGAAGCACCGGCUAACUCCGUGCCAGCAGCCGCGGUAAUACGGAGGGUGCGAGCGUUAAUCGGAAUUACUGGGCGUAAAGCGCAUGCAGGCGGCCUGUUAAGUCAGAUGUGAAAGCCCGGGGCUUAACCUCGGAAUUGCAUUUGAAACUGGCAGGCUAGAGUCUUGUAGAGGGGGGGUAGGAAUUUCAGGUGUAGCGGUGAAAUGCGUAGAGAUCUGAAGGAAUACCAGUGGCGAAGGCGGCCCCCUGGACAAAGACUGACGCUCAGAUGCGAAAGCGUGGGGAGCAAACAGGAUUAGAUACCCUGGUAG
This 472-nucleotide ribosomal RNA is filed under the name uncultured bacterium. Its description in RNAcentral is "bacterial SSU rRNA". It matches the Rfam family "Bacterial small subunit ribosomal RNA", at positions 331 to 793 of the family's 1533-position model. The record is from RNAcentral.